RNAcentral lists this non-coding RNA (36 nucleotides) under unclassified sequences. RNAcentral describes it as "DUF805b RNA". It matches the Rfam family "DUF805b RNA". Rfam says of the family: Bacteroidetes, Chlorobi (1 example), Proteobacteria. Lineage (Flavobacteria) The record is from RNAcentral.
AACGCGUAUGCUGAAAAGCGUAUAACAGAGUAGGCU